AGUGAAUAAUGUGAGGAAAGUCCGUGCAUCCAAGGACAGGCCGCCGGAGAAACUCCGGGCAGCGCGAGCUGGCGGAUAGGACCACAGAAAAAAUACAGCUAACGGCUUAAAACUAAGUACGAGCGAAGGUGCAACGGUGAGGUAAGAGCGUCACCGGCGGUAUUGAGAGAUACCGGCCAGGCAACCCCCGGCAGGAUGCAAGAUUAAAUAGAAGGUUUAAAGGCUGUCCGCCCACUUCUGAAAAAUCGCUAGAGAUUGAAAGUAAUUUCAAUACCAGACAGAUGAUUAUCUAAAACAGAACACGGCUUACGGGCUGCUUUA
Molecule: RNase P RNA, 321 nt
Filed under: chicken gut metagenome
Description: Bacterial RNase P class A
Rfam family: Bacterial RNase P class A
About the family: Ribonuclease P (RNase P) is a ubiquitous endoribonuclease, found in archaea, bacteria and eukarya as well as chloroplasts and mitochondria.
Source: RNAcentral